UCGUACGCUCUCGGGAAGAGGGCGUGGCGGACGGCUGAGUAACACGUGGCUAACCUGCCCUUGGGAUCUGGAUAACCCCGGGAAACUGGGGCUAAUCCGGAGCAGGCAAGGGAAUCUGGAAUGAUCUCUUGCCUAAAGGCUUCUCGGCUGAUCCGGUCGAGAGGCGCCCAAGGAUGGGGCUGCGGCCCAUCAGGCUGUUGGGGGAGUAAAGGUCCCCCAAACCGAUAACGGGUAGGGGCCGUGGGAGCGGGAGCCCCCAGUUGGGCACUGAGACAAGGGCCCAGGCCCUACGGGGCGCACCAGGCGCGGAACGUCCCCAAUGCGGGGAACCGUGAGGGCGUUACCCCUAGUGCCCUCGCAAGAGGGCUUUUCUCCACUCCAGAAAGGUGGAGGAAUAAGCGGGGGGCAAGACUGGUGUCAGCCGCCGCGGUAAUACCAGCCCCGCGAGUGAUCGGGACGUUUAUUGGGCUUAAAGCGCCCGUAGCCGGCCUGUAAAGUCACCGUUUAAAGACCCGGGCUCAACUCGGGGAACGGCGGUGAUACUUACAGGCUAGGGGGCGGGAGAGGUCGGAGGUACUCCCGGAGUAGGGGCGAAAUCCUCAGAUCCCGGGAGGACCACCAGUGGCGAAAGCGUCCGGCUAGAACGCGCCCGACGGUGAGGGGCGAAAGCCGGGGUAGCAAAUAGGAUUAGAUACCCUAGUAGUCCCGGCUGUAAACGAUGCAGGCUAGGUGUCGCGUAGGCUUUGUGCCUGCGCGGUGCCGCAGGAAAACUGGUAAGCCCGCCGCCUGGGGAGUACGGCCGCAAGGCUGA
Molecule: ribosomal RNA, 811 nt
Filed under: uncultured archaeon
Lineage: Archaea
Description: bacterial SSU rRNA
Rfam family: Archaeal small subunit ribosomal RNA
Source: RNAcentral